GGAUUAUCUAGUUGUUUACUUUCUAAUGCAUGUAUCAUGCUAGAGUCACCUCAAUCUCGGCCAAUAUAAAUAGUCCCAGAAGUUGGUAUAAUCAGUGUUCCUUUGUCUGUAUAUAUGUAUAUGUGUUUUGGUGAUAUAAAUGCAUAUGUAUAGUUACACUUGUUGGUGCUAUGUCAAGUAGAAUAUUUGAUGUAGAAGCAACACGUCAGACAUGAAUCGUUAUUUUAUGGAUGUGAGGAAAUUUUAUGUUGCUUUUAUUUACCCAACGAUUUUAAAAGGGUGAUUAAGA
This 289-nucleotide unclassified non-coding RNA is filed under the name Hevea brasiliensis (rubber tree). The record is from RNAcentral. Lineage: Eukaryota; Viridiplantae; Streptophyta; Magnoliopsida; Malpighiales; Euphorbiaceae.